This is a long non-coding RNA of Oncorhynchus tshawytscha (Chinook salmon), 328 nucleotides long. Lineage: Eukaryota; Metazoa; Chordata; Actinopteri; Salmoniformes; Salmonidae. The record is from Ensembl.
GAGAGGGACGAGAGAGAGAGAGGGACGAGAGAGUUAAAGUUAGAGGGAAGAGAGAGAGAGAGAGAGGGAAGAGAGAGAUAGCGAGAGGGAAGAGUGAGAGGGAAGAGAGAGAGAGGGACGAGAGAGAGAGGGGGAAGAGAGAGAGAGAGGGACGAGAGAGAGAGAGGGACGAGAGAGUUAAAGUUAGAGGGAAGAGAGAGAGAGAGAGCGAGAGGGAAGAGAGAGAUAGCGAGAGGGAAGAGAGAGAUAGCGAGAGGGAAGAGAGAGAUAGCGAGAGGGAAGAGAGAGAGAGCGAGAGAGAGAGAGAGAGAGAGGGAAGAGAGAGAGA